ACACAACCAGGGAGCAAAUCAACCAGCACAUUUAAAGCAGCCUUUUUAACCCUGAGACUUUCCAAGAUCUCCUCUUCACACAGGAAGUUUCCUUCUCUGUUGUCAGAUUUAGCACUGUGCUCUUGUCAUCAGAUCCGAGCUAGGCUCCCUGCUGCACAGUAGAGAGGCUUCCUUAAGACAUUUGUCCUUGAAACUGCACCAAACUCUUGGAAGAACCCAGAACGUAGCUGACAAUUUACUGGUUCAUCAAUGAAACAAUAUUAAAUUAUGAAGAUGUAAGGAAAAAAUCCUACGCUAACACUGUCGCAGUUUGAAAGCUUUAAAAAGUUGAAGUCUAUUGGAAACCUUCUUAUAAGAAACCUUCCUAGUCAGAGAAUUCAACUUUCUUCUUUUCUUCAUUCAUGAAAAUGCAGAUCCACUGAGAAAGGGAAUAAGGGUGAAAAUAUAUAUGGGAAAAAUUCUUCCAAAAUGGAGCCUGACAUUGACCCCUAGAGCUUAAAGCCUAACCGGACAGACUCU
This 519-nucleotide small RNA is filed under the name Pan troglodytes (chimpanzee). RNAcentral's name for it is "processed transcript". Lineage: Eukaryota; Metazoa; Chordata; Mammalia; Primates; Hominidae. The record is from RNAcentral.